This is a long non-coding RNA of Ficedula albicollis (Collared flycatcher), 1607 nucleotides long. NCBI's taxonomy places the organism in Eukaryota, Metazoa, Chordata, Aves, Passeriformes, Muscicapidae. The record is from Ensembl.
CCCCCCCCCCCCCCCCCCCCCCCCCCCCCCCCCCCCCCCCCCCCCCCCCCCCCCCCCCCCCCCCCCCCCCCCCCCCCCCCCCCGCCUCACCGAGCUCCCACCCUGCCCCAGUUAGGAAAUCCCAGGAAAUUCCUGGAAUUCAGCUUUUUCCUCCCCGCAAAUCCAUGGAAACGCUUGGCUUCAGUGCGAUUUUCCCAAAUUUUUUGGUGUUUACGGCAUAAACUUCACCCCAAAAUGCAGGGAAAUGUGUUUUUUCAGCUGUUUUUUCCUUUUUCCCCCCCAAAAAAUCCAACAACACCCAGAACCCUUGGGUUUCAAGGAUUUUUCCCUCGUAUUUUCUUGGUUUAGUGGUGUAACCUCCAUCCCUGUCUGGAACAACGCUGGGAAAUCUGGUGGGAUUUCCUGUUUUCUCCCAAAAAACUCCUCAAGUGCCGCUGCAAAAUCCACAAAAAUUGCUGCCUUUGUUGGGCUUUUUUCCCAGUUUUUCAUAUUUUCACAGCAGAACCUUCACCCCUUUCCAAAACAAAAAACAAAAAACAAAAACAAAAAAAAAGGGGCCUUUUCCAGCUAAAUUUCCCAUUUUUCUCCCCAAAAAAACCUCCAGCAGCCAAAUCCGUGUCCCCUUCUCGGCCUGGCUCACCCGGGAAUUCUGUGCCGGACUCGAGCGCUGCCGCCGAGCUCCCAGCCUGCCCAAAUUAGGGAUGGGGGAACUCCUGGAAUUCAGCUUUUUUUCAGCCCCACGAAUUCAUGGAAACGCUUGGCUUCGGCGCGGUUUUCCCGUAUUUUCGGCAUUUACGGCAUAAACUUCACCCCAGAAUGCAGGGAAAAGUCGUUUUCAGGCUCUGUUUCCUUUUUUCCCCCCAAAACUCCAGUGACACCGCGAAACCCCGGAAAUCCCUUGGGUUUCAUCCAGCAACGCUCAGCACCCUUGGGUUUUGGGGAUUUUCUCCUCAUAGUUUUUGGUCUAGCGGCGUAACCUCCAUCCCUGUCUUUGACAACGCUGGGAAAUCUGACGGAAUUUCCUGUUUUCUCCCAAAAAACCCCUCAAGCACCGCUGCAAAAUCCACAAAAAUUCCUGCGUUCGUUGGGAUUUUUUUUCCCCGAUUUUCCACAUUUUCACGGCAGAACCUUCACCCCCCUGCAAAACUGGAAAAAAAAAUGGGGCCUUUUCCAUUUCAAUUUCCUGUUUUUCUCCCCAAAAAAAAACCUCCAGCAGCAACGUGGAGUCCAGGAAAAUCACUCGGGUUUGGUUUUUCUCCCGUAUUUUUGGGUUUUGUGGCAGAACCUUCAGCCCUGUCUGAAACCACCAGGAAAACGUGGCGUUUUCCAUUUGGAUUUCCCACAAAACUGGAAAAAAAAUGGGGCCUUUUCCAUUUCAAUUUCCUGUUUUUCUCCCCAAAAAAAAACCUCCAGCAGCAACGUGGAGUCCAGGAAAAUCACUCGGGUUUGGUUUUUCUCCCGUAUUUUUGGGUUUUGUGGCAGAACCUUCAGCCCUGUCUGAAACCACCAGGAAAAUGUGGCGUUUUCCAUUUGGAUUUCCCAUUUUCUGCCAAAAAAAAUGGAUUUUGGAAGUGAAUGGGUAAGGAAAAAUGGGAAAAAACCCAAAA